Anolis carolinensis (green anole) is the source of this 116-nucleotide small nuclear RNA. Its record names the gene U5. It matches the Rfam family "U5 spliceosomal RNA". From Rfam's summary of the family: U5 RNA is a component of both types of known spliceosome. Lineage: Eukaryota; Metazoa; Chordata; Lepidosauria; Squamata; Anolidae. The record is from Ensembl.
AUACUCUGGUUUCUCUUCAGAUCGUAUAAAUCUUUCGCCUUUUACUAAAGAUUUCCGUGGAGAGGAACAUUUAUGAGUUUUUCUCAAAUUUUUUGAGGCUCCACUCUUGUGGAGCU